CAGGGUUCAAUCUCGGAGUCGUUCAAUCUUCGCCCGCGUAAGCGCGAGAAAUGUCGCGUCGACUCGCAAAGUGCGUUAAAUCGUAUUCGCGUCUCGUUGGCAUUUACUGUGGAUAAUAUACGUGUUCUACCAUCUGAUUGAUUUAUCACGCCUGUCUUAUUGCGUGGAAGGUCGUUUUCCAACAACAUAAUUUUCACACGCAACGACAGUGCACUGUGGGCCAGCAAUGGUGGGCGCGUGAUUUUGAACAAUUCGAGUUAUCGAAGGAACGCGCAAGUAUGUGCUCUUAACGACAACUAUGUGAUACUAUUUUCAACCUCCCUGAGUUUCAUUAAGCUUCUGAACGUUGACUAAAAUCGGGCCCUCUCGAUCGCAAACUGCAAUUUUGCCGUUCGACCUACGUAUCUUUCUCCGAUUCGAACGUUUUGAGGUUAUGUAUCGUAUUAUUCCAGCUUCGCGCCAUCCUGCUCAGUGAUUUCCGUAAUGGUUCGCGUAUCGACAGGUGUCGAGUCGCAACUUUGAUUAUUAAGAGUCGCAUAAUUCAUUGUUUAAAAUCAAAUUUUCGCAAGUACGCUUGAAAAUCAGUUUCGCAAAAAUGGCGCGUUUCGCUAAUAAAUGGCGCUGUUGUCCCAUAGCUUCGCGCUUCGAACUUGGUUUUUUUUUCUUACGUAUUCGAAUUUGUUCUGCAUAUUCGAAUCCACUCUCUCCAGACUUCAUUUGACUUAAUAAGUUAGUUGACAAUUGGCUCGCGACUUUUCGAAAUGCAAGUAGCUGAAUGGACACCUUUAUUUUGAUUUUAAUAACUAUUAUUUAUUUCUAUGCUGAUUAAUGGGAUUAUGGUAAUUAAGAUACAAUUAAUCUAAAUUAUUAGUAGAUUGUAAGUUUUAUGAUACUUAGAUCGCUAUUAAUGUUAUACACAUUCUGCAUAUUUCAGUAGAUAAAUAAACAGAAAUUUUUAAAACUAAAUAUUUAAACAGAUUAAUGUCCGAAUUUUUUAUUAAAUUAGUCUACAUGUUUAACAUAUAUGAUUACUCUUACAAUUAUACUGUUAACAUAUUUGUAUUAUUGUUAUAUAAUAUUUUUUCAUUUUUAUUGUUUUAAGUCUAUCGUUUUUAUGUAACUUAUUUUAUUUAUUAUAUAGGACAGAUAUAUUGAGAGCACACAUACACUUCUUAUUUUUCUAAUUAAAAAAUAACGAGAGUAUUUGUUUUUAAAUUUUAUUAAAGGAAAGAAAGUAUGUGAUUAACGUUGAAAAAAUUAUAUUUUAUAUAUUAUUAUUUGAAAAUAUGUGUUGAUAAAAAUAUAUAUUCCACUAGAAUUCUUAUAUUUAAAUAAGGAUAUAGAAUUAUGUAAAAAAGCGUUAUGUAAACAUAUUGCACUAAUAGUUUUUAAAUCUGGGUUUUUAACUGUGCUAAUGUUUCGGUCAGGUGUCACCAUGUCUACUAAUAAGGGACAAAACGCACGAGCUUUAGUAGAACCUUUAGCUUUGGAUUCGCGUACAUUGGAAGACAGCGAUCUUAGUGCAUUGAGCUUGUCCCACACCAGCGAGCAAUAUACUUCGAAUGAUUUUGAAGCUUUCGCGAAUAUUCAAGCAGAGCUUGACUGUAUGAACGCGGAGGAAGUUAUGGCAGCGGAGGAUGACCGGAUACUUGUCAAGCAAAAUAUUGAGACUGAAACAAUAGUACCUGAUGUGGAGAUGACUGAGGUCUCUGAACAAGCACAGAUUGAAAAUGUGUACACAAUGGCUAAUCAAAACAACCAAAAUAUCGUGUUUCAAACGAAACCCACUUUACAGAGAGUGCCUGUAUCGGCUGUCCAAGUGAAGCCAAGUGUCUGUCAAACCACGCAGAGCCAGUCUAUCAUGAUAGUAUCGCCUGCGAGUGGACAAGGCACCAGUCAGAUCCUUAAGAUUUCGCAUCCGUCGACGGCGUCAGCCGAACAAUUGCAGUCUUUGGCUCAGACCCUUAUAACUGGAAAAUCUACGGAUGGAAGCGUUGUUCAAUUACGGUCGAGUCAGCCUGCCAAGUCUGUUGCGACAACUAGUGCCUCUGGAAAUAUUACAAUCAGUAACGUGCAAAAUGUCAAGAUAGCGCAGCCAUCGAUAAAACGAGCGACACAGAAUGUCCAACAAGGGCGUAAUGUACAGUAUACAAAGAUGAUAUUGGCGGGAAGUCAGGCACAGUCCGGUGCGCCGCAAGUUCUCAUUACAAGUUCGCAGAGUGAAAAUCAGUCGACCCAAGGAAUCAAAUUUCUCAAUAAUAGUUCUUCGACUUACGGUGUUACAAACCCAACGAAAACUAUAACGUUGGCACAGGCCCAACAAAUAGGCAUACUCUCUACUAAUAAGGUGCAACACAUCUUGCCGUCGUCCCCGCAGAAGCAGGGCAUGAUAUUAAAUAAGUUAUUACAAUCUUCAACAUCUCAACAGUCGAAGGUGGCUAUAGUACCUACCAGCGCAGCAAAAUCACCAACAAAAAUUCUUCCUGCACCGACUAUGACUAUUCAAGGAAAAUCCUCGACAACGAAUCAGCAAUCUACGUUCGUUUCGUCCAAGUCGUCCAUGCAGCAAAGUCCCCAAAAAGUGAUCAUUAGACAGAGUUCUUUGAAACCUGGCACUGUGCUUGGAAGUGGACAAGUCAUUAGAAUACCUGCUAAUCAGAGUAUCGUGACCGGAUCUAAUCAAGUUCAUCAAAUUCAAAUGCCUGGAAGACAAGUGCAAUAUGUACGUUUAAUUAGUACUCCUUCGACAGGGACUACUAAUGUCGUUACUGUCAGCAAAUCAAAAUCUGCCACGACACUUCAGACCGUAGGAAUUAGUCAAAAAGUAGGAAAUCAGCAACAGAUUGUAAAGGUUGUACCACUAAAUACUAGUAGUCAGUCUCUAAGGACCGUUGCGCCGAAAGCAACGUUGACAAGCGGUAGCCAAAGAUUGCUCAUACCAGCGGCUACUGCUGCAACGGCUGUUGGCAAUCAAUCGAAGAGCACGGUAGCAAUUCCCGCAUCAGCGUUGAGCCAAUUAGCAUCUGGACAGGCAGUUCUGUCGACUAAUUCGAAUGUUGGGAAUAUUGUCGUUCUGCCUGCACAAUACAUUCAGCAACAGCAGUCAACAGAUGACAUAAAAUUGAAGUCGCAGCAAGGGACACCAGGUCUUUUAGGGAGUUCACAAAGUUCUACGGCAACUUUAUGCGUGAUCGAUGGAAAAGGUUCUCAAAGAGGAACUUACAGCAAUGUCGAGGCAAAUGGCAUCAGGCCGAGAAAACCAUGCAAUUGCACCAAAUCACAGUGUCUUAAGCUUUACUGCGACUGUUUCGCCAACGGUGAAUUCUGUCACAUGUGUAAUUGCAACAAUUGCUCAAAUAAUCUUGGGAAUGAGGAAGAGAGGCAACGCGCGAUUAAAUCUUGUUUGGAACGUAAUCCUAAUGCUUUUCGUCCUAAAAUCGGGAAAGGCCGUGAGACCGGUGACGAUAUAAGGAGACACAACAAGGGUUGCAAUUGCAAACGUAGUGGUUGUCUGAAGAAUUAUUGCGAGUGCUACGAGGCAAAAAUUCCAUGCUCUGAAAAUUGUAAAUGUAUAGGCUGCCGCAAUAUCGAAGAUCCGAUAUUGGAAAAGAAGUCUUUGAAAGAUCUAGCGGAAGCAGCCGAAAUGAGAACACCUCAACUGAGCUUAAACAAAGCACAGCUGCAACUAUCAGAAAUGGCCUUUAGGCCUCCAGCCACGUCCAAUACUGGAACUAGACAACCAUUUAAUUUCCUUACGGACAAAGUAGUAGAAAUAACAUGCCAAUGCUUAAUGGCACAAGCUGAUGAAGCAGAACGCAACAUGGUCGACGAUGAAACAUCCCAGCGUCUCAUCAUUGAGGAGUUCGGUCGUUGUUUAAAGGAAAUCAUUGAAUCAGCUCACAAAGCUGAGGCUACCUAGCAGUGGCUUGUAAUUCAGAUUAUUGAUUAUUUAAUAUCAAUUGAGAUAAAUGGCACUUAAUUUGGAUAAAAAGAAAAUGUACGAUACCUGGAGUACUCUGUAUUAUAUGUAUUACAAAAUGUUAAAGUCUUAAUAUUUCAAGGGUUAUAAAAUAAGUAACGUAAUAUACCGAUGGAUUUUUAAUGAUUUUGAAUGAGACUACGGCAUUACUCGAGCAACUGUAAAUGUAAUUGCAUAUUAAGAAAUAAAUAAGAUUAAUAUAUA
This 4183-nucleotide unclassified non-coding RNA is filed under the name Ooceraea biroi (clonal raider ant). RNAcentral describes it as "protein lin-54 homolog, transcript variant X4". Lineage: Eukaryota; Metazoa; Arthropoda; Insecta; Hymenoptera; Formicidae. The record is from RNAcentral.